UACGUAGGUGGCAAGCGUUGUCCGGAUUUACUGGGCGUAAAGGGCGUGCAGGCGGUCUGUUAAGUGCAGGGUGAAAGCUCCCGGCUCAACUGGGAGAGGUCCUUGCAUACUGGCGGACUUGAGGGGGGUAGAGGAAAGUGGAAUUCCCGGUGUAGUGGUGAAAUGCGUAGAUAUCGGGAGGAACACCUGUGGCGAAAGCGGCUCACUGGACCACAACUGACGCUGAUGCGCGAAAGCUAGGGGAGCAAACAGG
Molecule: ribosomal RNA, 253 nt
Filed under: uncultured bacterium
Lineage: Bacteria
Description: partial 16S ribosomal RNA
Rfam family: Bacterial small subunit ribosomal RNA
Source: RNAcentral